UUAAGUGACUAAGCGUACACGGUGGAUGCCUAGGCAGUCAGAGGCGAUGAAGGACGUGCUAAUCUGCGAUAAGCGUCGGUGAGCUGAUAUGAAGCAUUAUUAGCCGGCGAUGUCCGAAUGGGGAAACCCAGUGCAAUCCGUUGCACUAUCGUUAAGUGAAUACAUAGCUUAACGAGGCGAACCAGGGGAACUGAAACAUCUAAGUACCCUGAGGAAAAGAAAUCAACCGAGAUUCCCCUAGUAGCGGCGAGCGAACGGGGAAGAGCCCAGAACCUGAAUCAGUUUGUGCAUUAGUGGAAGCGUCUGGAAAGUCGCGCGAUACAGGGUGAUAGCCCCGUACACGAAGGUGCACAGCUGUGAGUUCGAUGAGUAGGGCGGGACACGUGUUAUCCUGUCUGAAUAUGGGGGGACCAUCCUCCAAGGCUAAAUACUCCUGACUGACCGAUAGUGAACCAGUACCGUGAGGGAAAGGCGAAAAGAACCCCGGCGAGGGGAGUGAAAUAGAACCUGAAACCGUGUACGUACAAGCAGUGGGAGCAUCCUUCGGGGUGUGACUGCGUACCUUUUGUAUAAUGGGUCAGCGACUUAUAUUUUGUAGCAAGGUUAACCGAAUAGGGGAGCCGUAGGGAAACCGAGUCUUAACUGGGCGUCUAGUUGCAAGGUAUAGACCCGAAACCCGGUGAUCUAGCCAUGGGCAGGUUGAAGGUUGGGUAACACUAACUGGAGGACCGAACCGACUAAUGUUGAAAAAUUAGCGGAUGACUUGUGGCUGGGGGUGAAAGGCCAAUCAAACCGGGAGAUAGCUGGUUCUCCCCGAAAGCUAUUUAGGUAGCGCCUCGUGAACUCAUCUUCGGGGGUAGAGCACUGUUUCGGCUAGGGGGUCAUCCCGACUUACCAACCCGAUGCAAACUACGAAUACCGAAGAAUGUUAUCACGGGAGACACACGGCGGGUGCUAACGUCCGUCGUGAAGAGGGAAACAACCCAGACCGCCAGCUAAGGUCCCAAAGUCAUGGUUAAGUGGGAAACGAUGUGGGAAGGCAUAGACAGCCAGGAUGUUGGCUUAGAAGCAGCCAUCAUUUAAAGAAAGCGUAAUAGCUCACUGGUCGAGUCGGCCUGCGCGGAAGAUGUAACGGGGCUAAACCAUGCACCGAAGCUGCGGCAGCGACGCUUAGGCGUUGUUGGGUAGGGGAGCGUUCUGUAAGCCUGCGAAGGUGGCCUGUGAGGGCUGCUGGAGGUAUCAGAAGUGCGAAUGCUGACAUAAGUAACGAUAAAGCGGGUGAAAAGCCCGCUCGCCGGAAGACCAAGGGUUCCUGUCCAACGUUAAUCGGGGCAGGGUAAGUCGACCCCUAAGGCGAGGCUGAAAAGCGUAGUCGAUGGGAAACAGGUUAAUAUUCCUGUACUUGGUGUUAUUGCGAAGGGGGGACGGAGAAGGCUAGACCGGCCGGGCGACGGUUGUCCCGGUUUAAGCGUGUAGGUGGGGUGACUUGGCAAAUCCGGUUACCUUUAACACUGAGGCGUGAUGACGAGGCACUACGGUGCUGAAGUGGUUAAUGCCCUGCUUCCAGGAAAAGCCUCUAAGCUCCAGAUAACACUGAAUCGUACCCCAAACCGACACAGGUGGUCAGGUAGAGAAUACCAAGGCGCUUGAGAGAACUCGGGUGAAGGAACUAGGCAAAAUGGUGCCGUAACUUCGGGAGAAGGCACGCUGGCACGUAGGUGAAGUCCCUCGCGGAUGGAGCCGAAGCCAGUCGAAGAUACCAGCUGGCUGCAACUGUUUAAUAAAAACACAGCACUCUGCAAACACGAAAGUGGACGUAUAGGGUGUGACGCCUGCCCGGUGCUGGAAGGUUAAUUGAUGGGGUCAGCCGCAAGGCGAAGCUCUUGAUCGAAGCCCCAGUAAACGGCGGCCGUAACUAUAACGGUCCUAAGGUAGCGAAAUUCCUUGUCGGGUAAGUUCCGACCUGCACGAAUGGCGUAAUGAUGGCCAGGCUGUCUCCACCCGAGACUCAGUGAAAUUGAACUCGCUGUGAAGAUGCAGUGUACCCGCGGCAAGACGGAAAGACCCCGUGAACCUUUACUAUAGCUUGACACUGAACAUUGAACCUUGAUGUGUAGGAUAGGUGGGAGGCUUUGAAGUGUGGACGCCAGUCUGCAUGGAGCCGACCUUGAAAUACCACCCUUUAAUGUUUGAUGUUCUAACCUGGUCCCGUGAUCCGGGAUAGGGACAGUGUCUGGUGGGUAGUUUGACUGGGGCGGUCUCCUCCCAAAGAGUAACGGAGGAGCACGAAGGUUAGCUAAUCCUGGUCGGACAUCAGGAGGUUAGUGCAAAGGCAUAAGCUAGCUUGACUGCGAGAGUGACGGCUCGAGCAGGUGCGAAAGCAGGUCUUAGUGAUCCGGUGGUUCUGAAUGGAAGGGCCAUCGCUCAACGGAUAAAAGGUACUCCGGGGAUAACAGGCUGAUACCGCCCAAGAGUUCAUAUCGACGGCGGUGUUUGGCACCUCGAUGUCGGCUCAUCACAUCCUGGGGCUGAAGUAGGUCCCAAGGGUAUGGCUGUUCGCCAUUUAAAGUGGUACGCGAGCUGGGUUUAGAACGUCGUGAGACAGUUCGGUCCCUAUCUGCCGUGGGCGUUGGAAGAUUGAGAGGGGCUGCUCCUAGUACGAGAGGACCGGAGUGGACGCACCGCUGGUGUUCGGGUUGUGAUGCCAAUUGCAUUGCCCGGUAGCUACGUGCGGAAAAGAUAAGCGCUGAAAGCAUCUAAGCGCGAAACUUGCCUCGAGAUGAGUCUUCCCUUGGACCUUGAGUCCACUAAAGGAACGUUUAAGACUAAGACGUUGAUAGGCUGGGUGUGUAAGCGUAGCGAUACGUUGAGCUAACCAGUACUAAUGAUCCGUGAGACUUAACCUU
Molecule: ribosomal RNA, 2906 nt
Filed under: Edwardsiella tarda
Lineage: Bacteria; Pseudomonadati; Pseudomonadota; Gammaproteobacteria; Enterobacterales; Hafniaceae
Description: bacterial LSU rRNA
Rfam family: Bacterial large subunit ribosomal RNA
Source: RNAcentral